UGUUUGUUCACAGUUAGGGUU
RNAcentral lists this non-coding RNA (21 nucleotides) under Caenorhabditis elegans. The record is from RNAcentral. Lineage: Eukaryota; Metazoa; Nematoda; Chromadorea; Rhabditida; Rhabditidae.